RNAcentral lists this ribosomal RNA (611 nucleotides) under Achromobacter sp. RNAcentral describes it as "bacterial SSU rRNA". It matches the Rfam family "Bacterial small subunit ribosomal RNA", at positions 856 to 1471 of the family's 1533-position model. The record is from RNAcentral. Lineage: Bacteria; Pseudomonadati; Pseudomonadota; Betaproteobacteria; Burkholderiales; Alcaligenaceae.
CACGACAGAUCCCCCCCUCCGAGUACGUGUGCUAGCAUGAACUUUAGAUCGAAGGAAUUGAUGGGGACCCGCACAAGCGGUGGAUGAUGUGGACUAAUUUGCUGCAACGCGAAAAACCUUACCUACCCUUGACAUGUCUGGAAUUCCGAAGAGAUUUGGAAGUGCUCGCAAGAGAACUGGAACACAGGUGCUGCAUGGCUGUCGUCAGCUCGUGUCGUGAGAUGUUGGGUUAAGUCCCGCAACGAGCGCAACCCUUGUCAUUAGUUGCUACGAAAGGGCACUCUAAUGAGACUGCCGGUGACAAACCGGAGGAAGGUGGGGAUGACGUCAAGUCCUCAUGGCCCUUAUGGGUAGGGCUUCACACGUCAUACAAUGGUCGGGACAGAGGGUCGCCAACCCGCGAGGGGGAGCCAAUCCCAGAAACCCGAUCGUAGUCCGGAUCGCAGUCUGCAACUCGACUGCGUGAAGUCGGAAUCGCUAGUAAUCGCGGAUCAGCAUGUCGCGGUGAAUACGUUCCCGGGUCUUGUACACACCGCCCGUCACACCAUGGGAGUGGGUUUUACCAGAAGUAGUUAGCUAACCGUAAGGGGGGCGAUACCACGUAGAUCGCG